GACGAACGCUGGCGGCGUGCUUAACACAUGCAAGUCGAGCGGUAAGGCCCUUUCGGGGGUACACGAGCGGCGAACGGGUGAGUAACACGUGGGUGACCUGCCCUCAGCUCUGGGAUAAGCCUGGGAAACUGGGUCUAAUACUGGAUAUGACUCCACGGUGCAUGUCGUGGGGUGGAAAGCCUUGUGCGGCUGAGGAUGGGCCCGCGGCCUAUCAGCUUGUUGGUGGGGGAUGGCCUACCAAGGCGACGACGGGUAGCCGGCCUGAGAGGGCGACCGGCCACACUGGGACUGAGACACGGCCCAGACUCCUACGGGAGGGCAGCAGUGGGGAAGUCUUGCGCAAUGGGCGGAAAGCCUGACGCAGCGACGCCGCGUGAGGGAGUGA
RNAcentral lists this ribosomal RNA (385 nucleotides) under uncultured bacterium. RNAcentral's name for it is "bacterial SSU rRNA". It matches the Rfam family "Bacterial small subunit ribosomal RNA", at positions 28 to 412 of the family's 1533-position model. The record is from RNAcentral.